AGUGGAAUAGCUGGGUCAAAUGGUGGUUCCAUUCUAAGUUUUCUGAGGCAUCUCUACACUGUUUUCCAAGGUUGUUGCACCAAUUUGCAAUCCCACCAGCAAU
This 103-nucleotide microRNA precursor is filed under the name Marmota monax (woodchuck). The record is from RNAcentral. Lineage: Eukaryota; Metazoa; Chordata; Mammalia; Rodentia; Sciuridae.